GAUGAAGAACGCAGCGAAAUGCGAUAAGUAAUGUGAAUUGCAGAAUUCAGUGAAUCAUCGAAUCUUUGAACGCACAUUGCGCCCCUUGGUAUUCCGGGGGGCAUGCCUGUUCGAGCGUCAUUUCAACCCUCAAGCUCUGCUUGGUAUUGGGCACCGUCCUUUGCGGGCGCGCCUCAAAGACCUCGGCGGUGGCGUCUUGCCUCAAGCGUAGUAGAAUACACCUCGCUUCGGAGCGUAAGGCGUCGCCCGCCGGACGAACCUUCUGAACUUUUCUCAAGGUUGACCUCGGAUCAGGUAGGGAUACCCGCUGAACUCAAGCAUAUCAAUAAGCGGAGGA
This 337-nucleotide unclassified non-coding RNA is filed under the name soil metagenome. Its description in RNAcentral is "partial contains 5.8S ribosomal RNA, internal transcribed spacer 2, and large subunit ribosomal RNA". The stretch from base 1 to 120 matches the Rfam family "5.8S ribosomal RNA", at positions 35 to 154 of the family's 154-position model. The record is from RNAcentral.